RNAcentral lists this ribosomal RNA (468 nucleotides) under uncultured bacterium. RNAcentral's name for it is "bacterial SSU rRNA". It matches the Rfam family "Bacterial small subunit ribosomal RNA", at positions 28 to 498 of the family's 1533-position model. The record is from RNAcentral.
GAUGAACGCUGGCGGCGUGCUUAACACAUGCAAGUCGAGCGAAGCAGUUAAGAAGAUUCUUCGGAUGAUUCUUGACUGACUGAGCGGCGGACGGGUGAGUAACGCGUGGGUGACCUGCCCCAUACCGGGGGAUAACAGCUGGAAACGGCUGCUAAUACCGCAUAAGCGCACAGAGCUGCAUGGCUCGGUGUGAAAAACUCCGGUGGUAUGGGAUGGGCCCGCGUCUGAUUAGGCAGUUGGCGGGGUAACGGCCCACCAAACCGACGAUCAGUAGCCGGCCUGAGAGGGCGACCGGCCACAUUGGGACUGAGACACGGCCCAAACUCCUACGGGAGGCAGCAGUGGGGAAUAUUGCACAAUGGGGGAAACCCUGAUGCAGCGACGCCGCGUGAGCGAAGAAGUAUUUCGGUAUGUAAAGCUCUAUCAGCAGGGAAGAUAAUGACGGUACCUGACUAAGAAGCCCCGGCU